RNAcentral lists this ribosomal RNA (749 nucleotides) under Bacillus pumilus. RNAcentral describes it as "bacterial SSU rRNA". It matches the Rfam family "Bacterial small subunit ribosomal RNA", at positions 57 to 788 of the family's 1533-position model. The record is from RNAcentral. Lineage: Bacteria; Bacillati; Bacillota; Bacilli; Caryophanales; Bacillaceae.
GCAAGUUCGAGCGGACAUAAGGGAGCUUGCUCCCGGAUGUUAGCGGCGGACGCGUGAAUAACACGUGGGUAACCUGCCUGUAAGACUGGGAUAACUCCGGGAAACCGGAGCUAAUACCGGAUAGUUCCUUGAACCGCAUGGUUCAAGGAUGAAAGACGGUUUCGGCUGUCACUUACAGAUGGACCCGCGGCGCAUUAGCUAGUUGGUGAGGUAACGGCUCACCAAGGCGACGAUGCGUAGCCGACCUGAGAGGGUGAUCGGCCACACUGGGACUGAGACACGGCCCAGACUCCUACGGGAGGCAGCAGUAGGGAAUCUUCCGCAAUGGACGAAAGUCUGACGGAGCAACGCCGCGUGAGUGAUGAAGGUUUUCGGAUCGUAAAGCUCUGUUGUUAGGGAAGAACAAGUGCAAGAGUAACUGCUUGCACCAUGACGGUACCUAACCAAAAAGCCACGGCUAACUACGUGCCAGCAGCCGCGGUAAUACGUAGGUGGCAAGCGUUGUCCGGAAUUAUUGGGCGUAAAGGGCUCGGAGGCGGUUUCUUAAGUCUGAUGUGAAAGCCCCCGGCUCAACCGGGGAGGGUCAUUGGAAACUGGGAAACUUGAGUGCAGAAAAAGAAAUGGAAUUCCACGUUGUAGCGGUGAAAUGCGUAAGAUGUGGAAGGAACACCAGUGGCGAAGGCGACUCUCUGGUCUGUACUGACACUGAGGAGCGAAAGCGUGGGGGAGCGAACAGGAUUAGAUACCCU